This 373-nucleotide ribosomal RNA is filed under the name uncultured bacterium. RNAcentral describes it as "bacterial SSU rRNA". It matches the Rfam family "Bacterial small subunit ribosomal RNA", at positions 521 to 896 of the family's 1533-position model. The record is from RNAcentral.
UAAUACGGAGGGUGCAAGCGUUAUCCGGAUUCACUGGGUUUAAAGGGUGCGUAGGCGGAUAGGUAAGUCCGUGGUGAAAUCCUGCAGCUUAACUGCAGAACUGCCAUGGAUACUAUUUAUCUUGAAUAUCGUGGAGGUUAGCGGAAUAUGUCAUGUAGCGGUGAAAUGCUUAGAUAUGACAUAGAACACCCAUUGCGAAGGCAGCUAACUACGCGAUAAUUGACGCUGAUGCACGAAAGCGUGGGGAUCAAACAGGAUUAGAUACCCUGGUAGUCCACGCCCUAAACGAUGAUUACUCGACAUUGGCGAUACACAGUCAGUGUCUGAGCGAAAGCAUUAAGUAAUCCACCUGGGAAGUACGAUCGCAAGAUUG